RNAcentral lists this non-coding RNA (31 nucleotides) under Mus musculus (house mouse). Lineage: Eukaryota; Metazoa; Chordata; Mammalia; Rodentia; Muridae. The record is from RNAcentral.
UCCUGAGAGUCACCUAAAGGUGAACUAUACC